UCGCCUGUUUUUCAAAAACAUAGUUUUAUGAAGGUUUAUAUAAAAUGGUUUCUGCCCGGUGCUUUUUAUAGUAAACGGCCGUUUUUACGCUAAGGUAGCAUAAUCAGUUGUUCCUUAAUUGGGGACUGGAAUGAAAGGGAGAACGUGGGUAGGCUUUUUUCCUUUAAAAUCUAAAAAUUAAAUUUCUUAUGAAAAUGUGAGAAUAAAAUUUAAAGACCAAAAGACCCUAAUGAGCUUAAAUUUGGGAGGGGUCUCCCUUUACAAAUUUUUAUUGGGGGGAUAAAGGAUAUACAUCUUUUGUUGGAAUCUAAAACUUUAUAAUGGAAGGUUUAGCUACCAUAGGGAUAACAGGCCUAUUUUUUUUGAGAGUUCACAUUUACAAUAAAUUUUGGCACCUCGAUGUUGGCUUAAGAUAAACCCUAGGCGCAGAAGUUUAGGUUUUAGGCUUGUUCCGCCUAUAAAUUCUUACGUGAUCUGAGUCCAGACCGGA
This 490-nucleotide ribosomal RNA is filed under the name Ophryotrocha japonica. RNAcentral describes it as "partial 16S ribosomal RNA". It matches the Rfam family "Bacterial large subunit ribosomal RNA", at positions 1796 to 2620 of the family's 2925-position model. The record is from RNAcentral. Lineage: Eukaryota; Metazoa; Annelida; Polychaeta; Eunicida; Dorvilleidae.